AAAGUCGUAACAAGGUAACCGUAGGUGAACCUGCGGUUGGAUCAUUAAAAAAACUACAAAGGUGCGCACCCCGGGUGUCUUAAAAAUAAGCCUGACACGCCACCGGGGAGCUUUACCUUGACAUUGGCAUGCAGUGAUAGCCCUAAGCGUCACACGUGGCUUUCUGCCGUCAUAGCCUAUCACUGUACAGAGUUUUCACUCAUGCAAGCUGCAUGCCUUCAUAUGUUAACCUCUUGUGAACCGACUCGUCUCUGGCGUGGAGGGCAGUUGAGAAACUGCUUGUCAGCAUCCAAAUGUAAAUUUGCAGGUGCCGUGGACAACCCGUCAACCCUUUACAACGUAUACAACUUAAAUUACUGUCUAACAUCACUUGUAUAAAUUAAUACAAAACAACUUUUGGCAACGGAUCUCUUGGCUCUC
This 420-nucleotide unclassified non-coding RNA is filed under the name Chytridiomycota sp. RNAcentral's name for it is "partial contains small subunit ribosomal RNA, internal transcribed spacer 1, and 5.8S ribosomal RNA". The stretch from base 1 to 47 matches the Rfam family "Eukaryotic small subunit ribosomal RNA", at positions 1785 to 1831 of the family's 1831-position model. The record is from RNAcentral. Lineage: Eukaryota; Fungi; Chytridiomycota.